CAACAGUUGGAAACGACUGCUAAUACCGCAUAAGCCCACGGAUUCGCAUGGAUCUGCGGGAAAAGGAUUUAUUCGCUUCAGGAUGGACUCGCGUCCAAUUAGCUAGUUGGUGAGGUAACGGCCCACCAAGGCGACGAUUGGUAGCCGGACUGAGAGGUUGAACGGCCACAUUGGGACUGAGACACGGCCCAGACUCCUACGGGAGGCAGCAGUGGGGGAUAUUGCACAAUGGGGGAAACCCUGAUGCAGCGACGCCGCGUGGAGGAAGAAGGUUUUCGGAUUGUAAACUCCUGUCGUUAGGGACGAUAAUGACGGUACCUAACAAGAAAGCACCGGCUAACUACGUGCCAGCAGCCGCGGUAAAACGUAGGGUGCAAGCGUUGUCCGGAAUUACUGGGUGUAAAGGGAGCGCAGGCGGACCGGCAAGUUGGAAGUGAAAACUAUGGGCUCAACCCAUAAAUUGCUUUCAAAACUGCUGGCCUUGAGUAGUGCAGAGGUAGGUGGAAUUCCCGGUGUAGCGGUGGAAUGCGUAGAUAUCGGGAGGAACACCAGUGGCGAAGGCGACCUACUGGGCACCAACUGACGCUGAGGCUCGAAAGCAUGGGUAGCAAACAGGAUUAGAUACCCUGGUAGUCCAUGCCGU
RNAcentral lists this ribosomal RNA (643 nucleotides) under uncultured bacterium. Its description in RNAcentral is "bacterial SSU rRNA". It matches the Rfam family "Bacterial small subunit ribosomal RNA", at positions 144 to 803 of the family's 1533-position model. The record is from RNAcentral.